GUGUUUUAUAGGAUUAAGAUUAGUAUAUUAACACAAUGUUGAAUGCUGUACCCCAAUUUGUGAAAUUUUUACCUAUUAUUUCUGGGUUGUUUUUUUUUUUGUUCAGUCACACAUCGUUGUCAAUAUAAUAGAAUGGAGUGGAAAGUGUUGCAACUUUCACACAAGUCAGAGGUUUAGCCAGCUUUAUAACCAGUUUCUACUUUAGAAAAUGCCUGUAUAAAGUCAGGAAUAUGACAGAUUUUAUCCAUUGGUUUGAUGUGUUUUAGCUUUAAUUUGCUUUUGCCAUUUGAUUAGGG
RNAcentral lists this long non-coding RNA (296 nucleotides) under Mytilus galloprovincialis (Mediterranean mussel). Lineage: Eukaryota; Metazoa; Mollusca; Bivalvia; Mytilida; Mytilidae. The record is from RNAcentral.